RNAcentral lists this RNase P RNA (455 nucleotides) under Oscillospiraceae bacterium. RNAcentral's name for it is "RNase P RNA component class A". It matches the Rfam family "Bacterial RNase P class A". From Rfam's summary of the family: Ribonuclease P (RNase P) is a ubiquitous endoribonuclease, found in archaea, bacteria and eukarya as well as chloroplasts and mitochondria. Lineage: Bacteria; Bacillati; Bacillota; Clostridia; Eubacteriales; Oscillospiraceae. The record is from RNAcentral.
CGAGUAAGCCGAACGACCGCGGGCAUAAGGCGAAAGCCUGUGCGUGAGGAAAGUCCGGGCUCCAUAGGGCAAGGAUAACGGGUAACGCCCGCCGAAGGCAACUUCAGGAAAAGUGCAACAGAGAUAUACCGCCAUGUCGUAUUCCCCCAUAUCUCCCAACAAAACGUUAGUUUUGAUGGGAAAAGGAGGAGCAGCGAAAUGAACAAGCUUUCGCGCUUGCGCGGAAGCGAGUGAUAUGCAGCUUGCGACGACGCGGCAAGGGUGGAAAGGCGAGGUAAGAGCUCACCCGACGGCUGGGAACAGUCCGUCGCUGUAAACUCUAUCCGGAGCAACACCGUGGGAGGACAAUAGGCUUGCCCGGCCGUCCUCGGGAGGUGGCUAGAGCGUAUCGGCAACGCUGCGCUUAGAUAGAUGGUCGUUUAAGACAGAACCCGGCUUAUAGACUUACUCGCAAA